UAAAAAGUUAAUUAAGAUGAAUCUGUUAGCCCAGCAGAGCAGUGGCUGUGGGAAGGUGAGCAGCCCCUGCUCCUUGGCUUUGCUGUGCCGUGGCAGGCACUGCUAGCUGUGGGUCUGACCCGGGCUGCACUGCUGUCUGAAAGCUGCCUCUAGCAUGUACGGGCUUAAAUAAACAUGUGUAAAGAAGGUUAAAUGAGCCUUGUUGGAGACUGUUGCUGGCAGAAGGAAGAAGGAUAUAAUCAAUUUAAUUUAGUGGUUAUGUUUGUCUUGGGACACCAGGAAACGUGCUGGAGUCUGAGGCUUCAUACGAUGUCGGAUCCUGUAAAAAUCCACCCGGUAUUUGGAGACGCGCAAAGCCCAUCGCUUGUUUUACAGGCAGCGCCUUGUCCUCCAGCCGGCCGCACGGUGGCAGAAGAAGCAAAGAACACAUUUAAAAUAAAUGUUUAAAGGAAACAAGCCCAGCACGCGGUGAGGGUCAGUGUGUGUGCCGGAGGGCAGCCCGGACCCGCCUGCUGGGGCACCUGCCAGGGA
Long non-coding RNA from Passer domesticus (house sparrow), 531 nucleotides. RefSeq lists it as uncharacterized. NCBI's taxonomy places the organism in Eukaryota, Metazoa, Chordata, Aves, Passeriformes, Passeridae. The record is from RefSeq and is a predicted model, not a curated record. The transcript has 3 exons.